RNAcentral lists this unclassified non-coding RNA (270 nucleotides) under Hevea brasiliensis (rubber tree). Lineage: Eukaryota; Viridiplantae; Streptophyta; Magnoliopsida; Malpighiales; Euphorbiaceae. The record is from RNAcentral.
UACCAAUCAUACACAUCCCCUUGCAGUAGUGACACAGAGUAUUCAAACUUCAACUCAUCUGGGCAGUGCAGCUUCUUAAACACUCUAUCCAUCCUUUCAAGCCAUUGUUCUGCCUCUAAAGGGUCUACUGUACCCUUGAAUUCCGUAGCCCCAUACUUCAACAACUUAUCAUACUGUCUGGCUGGAGGCUGUGGUUGUAUCACAGGUGUCUGGGGUGGAGCUUGAGCAGGCAUACCCCCAGCCAUUUGUUGAAACAUCGCAGCCAUCUGC